Molecule: non-coding RNA, 230 nt
Organism: Pelobates cultripes (western spadefoot toad)
Lineage: Eukaryota; Metazoa; Chordata; Amphibia; Anura; Pelobatidae
Source: the annotation of a GenBank genome assembly
GUCAACUCCGGUCGGCUUGGUCCCCGGCCCUGCUCCCUCCUAAUGCUCAGGCUUCUCCCCCUCCUGGGCCUCUUCUCGGGAUGGGUGGCGGUACGGUGCCCCUGGGUUCCCCGGCACCCGCGGUGGCCAGUGUUGGCGCCGCCUCGGUUGAUGCUGGUCUCGAAGGGGGGGUCCCGGACGUAGCGCGGGGUGCUGCUUACAUGUGCUGGUCUGGCCCUCUGGGCUUGCAC